This is a long non-coding RNA of Loxodonta africana (African savanna elephant), 4166 nucleotides long. RefSeq lists it as uncharacterized. The transcript is spliced from 4 exons. The record is from RefSeq and is a predicted model, not a curated record. Lineage: Eukaryota; Metazoa; Chordata; Mammalia; Proboscidea; Elephantidae.
UCUUCUCUUCCUUCACCUAUGCAUGUGGUGAAUGAAAUUACUAAAUCUUUAACGUUCACUCAAAUUUGUAUGCCUACAAUAAAAUGCCUUGAUCAUGGCAUGUUACGUGGUUUAUCCUUUGCUGGAUUUCCUUUGCUGGCAUCUUACGUAGGGUUUUGCAUCUCAGUUACUGAGUGUGCUUGUCCUCUAACUCUUCUUCUACCUUCCUUCUCUAAUUUGUUAUCAUUUUUAAACUAGCCUUAAGGAUCAAGUUAGGGGAGUAUCUCAUGGUUUUCUAAUCUCUGUUGACUAUGUACAAGAUUAAAAUGACUGUUUCUUGCAUGUUUGCUGGAACCUGACUGGAAACGAUCUAGGUCUGCCGUUUUCUUUGUAGGGAGAUCUUGAACUACUGACCCAUUUUAUUUAGUGGUUAAAGGCAUCUUCUGGUGCUAAUUUACUUAGAAAAAAUUCUGAUGCAUGUUCUAGGUUGCUCGAAUCUCAUCUUCAAAUAUUGAUUAUCAGGGCUUGUAGCCUCAUGGAAGGCAAUUCAUCAAUCCCAGAUUUCCCCAAAGUCAGGCUCUGCAACUCUUCCCGGUACCAAAUUCCCUCAUUUAAGACUUAUUUGCAAAGAGACAACAGUAUGCUAUCUGCGCAGUUGUUUAUCCACAACCUUCUUGAGUCCAUAAUGUGAGGAUAUAGUCUUCUAAUACUUUUUUUGUAAUUGUUCUCUUUCUUAUUUUUUUUUUUUUCCUUUUUUCACUGCCAAUACCCCUGCCCCCCGCCAGUCUAGUAGUUUUAAAGUUGUGCGUUUCAGGUUCAAGUCUGUAAUCCAACUGAGCUUCUGUGUGUGCUGCAUGUGUGCAUCAAAAGAACACGCUUCUAGAAGCAGAAAGCAGGCAGUGCGACUGUUGGGUGGUUGGCGGGGGAGGGGGAGGGGAGCUGCUGCUCAGAGAGGGCGCCCGAGGGAGGCAGGAGAUGCCGGGCUGCCCGCCGCAAGCCCGCAGGCUCCAAGGAGGCGGAACCCACGUGCACCAUGAGCCUUUUGAGACAGGCCCAAGCCCACCCAGCUGGGUGCUAACCUCGCAUCCGCCAGGCUUGCAGGUUCCACCAGGACUAGGGGAAGCCUAAGGCCAAGGAGGGCAAGGUCUAGGGUCUGGACCUGAGAACUGGUUCUGCCACUUGUGAUCGCAGCGCUUAUGCUGGAAAGGAGGGCAGGAAGCAUAUCGCAACGUGUGUCCGGACGAUGACCCAGAACGGGGGAGUUGUGGUCACCCACGGACUCUGGGUCUGCAUAUGGAGGCCCCCAGGGUGCAAUUCCAGGAGCAGAAGGCAAAGCCACAGAGGCCAAAGUGCACCUCGCCGAUGCUUCCCAGGGGCAUUUCCCCAAAUAUGGGGAGCAGUCCCUCCUCUGGGCUAGGGACUUUGUUUCCUCCAUUGUCAUCACUGACUGUGAGCAGACUCUAGUCUAUGCAGACUAAUGAGGAGUUAUCAAAAUGAGCUCCAAACUCCGGAUUUGAGUUAAGGAUCAUAAAUUAACACAGAGAAAUAUGACUUUAGCAAUAAGUGACUGUUUGAAGCCCAAGUUGCCUUAAAACACGGAAUUUCAGUCUUUCAGCUCCUCUGCUAAUCUAGUGACUAAGAACAGGAUCUCACUGGAGCUCAAAGAUGUGGGGCACUGGGAAUACUCUGGGUCUGUCUGCUCACGGCUGAUUGCCUGAUCCCAGUUUUAUUAUACAGCUUAAAUACAGACCAGAAGAGGAGUUUGGGGCUUGACACCUGACAUCUUAACACCAGUUCCUGUUUCUUGAGGAAGGAAGAGGUAAAAUAAAUCAGCAUUUACUGUGUCCUUCUCCAUCCCCGGAAGUCUUCAUGAAGACCCUCUCAGCUUCUACUUGAACGUGAAUAUGAGCAACUGAUCAUCUGUUCUGCAGUCAGCCCCUGGCCUGAUUCUGACUCAUGGUAUUGACCUUCUCCAUCAUCACCUUCCACAAAUUUGAUUCCUAUCUAUUCUGCCUGGAAUGGUUCACGAGUAUAGUCACCAUUUAUGUUCCUGACGAAAGCAGGUGAAGGCAUUCGUGCAGAGAGGCGAUUUCCAUGCGUGCAGCAAAGUGUGUGCUGAGAUGAUGAGUCGCUGGAGACCAGGGUGGACUCUUCAGACCCAGGAUAGGCCUCUGGCAGGCACUCUAUCAGGCACUCCAAGCUGGGAAGUGACUCAGGGAGAGAAGGAAGAGAUUUCAGAGAAUGAACACAUAUAGAGAGAGAGGCAAGAGAUGCUGAGUGAGGAUGUCUUGCGUACUGAUAUCCUGAGGAAAGUGGGAAAAUUGGACCCUGGCCUGCUCUGCCAAUGCCGUGAAGCAGUCCGCACCAGGGGCUCCCUUGUGCCUGCGUAGCCUUUCCCAGGGUGUGCUCAAAUCCUGUGACCACUAGGUGUCCUAGGUCACAAUGGAGGACCCUGUGUCAUCUGCCUGGCGGACUGGAUCUCUGCCAUUGGCUGAGUCUUGUCACCAGGCCCAUCAUAAGCUCUGCCCACUCUUCCGGUGGGGAGACUCUUUCCAUGGUGAUGGCAAAGAAACCUUAGUCCCGCCCACCUGGCCUUGACUUCACCUACCUGGCCUGCUGACCCUCACUCAGACCUCUGUGUCGAUCAAAAUGAAUGUUCACCAGUGGCCCGGUGUCAGCAUCUGGUAUAAAGGAUUCGGGACCUUGCCUGAGGCAGAAGGCAGCCUAGGUCUGCGGGUACCUGGAAGUCUAGUGACUUGUGACGCUGCUGCCAGUGAGAAAUGGUGACUCCCACACUCACAUAUCCCCUGGUGGCAGAAUGAUAGUGAUGGGUGGAGAAACAUCGCUCCGGAGCACUCGCGCAGUGGGGCACCGGCCAGAGGCCAGGGCCAGUAGUGGACGUCGCGGAGCUGAAUGGCGAGCCAGUGAAGGGCCCAAGGAUUUCUCCAAUGAGGCAAAAUGCAGAUCAAGCCAAGGAACAUAAAGAUAAAGCAGCUGAAGAAAUUAAAAAGGUUACUCAAGAACAUAGUUAAAAAUUUAAUAAGCUGCAAGAAACCAUAGAGAGACUGCAAUCAGAGAUUCAGAAGAUUAACAAUAAAAUUACAGAGUUAGAAAACUCAAUAGAAAGUAAGAAGAGCACAACUGAGGAAUUGGAAGGCAGAAUUACUGAGAUUGAAGAUGAAACUCUUGGGACUAAUAUAUUUGAAGAGAAAGCAGAUAAAAGAAAUUUAAAUGAAGAAAUCCAAAGAAUCAUGUGGGACUUUAUCAAGAGAAAUAACUAUGAGUGAUUUCAGUACCAGAACAGGGAGGGCUAACAGAAAAUACAAAGGGAACUGUUGAAGAUUUGUUGGCAGAAAACUUCCAUGAUAUCAUGAAAGAUGCUCAUCGAAUUCCACAUAAGGUAGAUCUCAAAAGAAAGUGACCGAGACACAUAAUAAUCAAACUUGCCAAAAUCAAAUAUAAAGAGAAUUUUAAGAGAGGCUAGGGAUAAAGGAAGUCACCAACAAAGGAGAGUAAAUAAUAAAAAACUUGGACUACUCAGCAGAAAUCAUGCAGGCAAGAAGGCAAAGGGAUGACUUACACAAAAUAUUGAAGGAAAAAAAUUGCCAGCCAGGAAUCAAACCAUAACCCUGGCCCUCUGGCCUUCGGGCCCUCUGGCCUUAGCCCUCUAACUCUAGCCCCUAAGCCCUGAGCCCCAAAGCCCCUAAGACCCUAAGCCCUUAGGUCCUAACCCCCAAGGCCCUAAACUCUAACCCUAACCCAAACCGUAACCCCUAUAGCCUAAACUCUACAACCUAAACACCUACACCCCAAAACACUACACAUCAAAACCCUACACACUAAACCCUAUACUCUAAGCCUCAAACCCUAAACCCAAACCUCAAAUCCCAAACCCUAAACCUAACCGUAAACCCUAAACCCUAACACCUAACCCUAACCCCUAACCACCCUAACCCUAAUGACCCUAACCCUAACCCUCGAACCCUAACCCUCUAACGCUAACAUGAAACCCUAAUCCGAAACCCUAACCCUCUAACUCUAACCUCUAACCCUCUAACCCUAGCCCUAAUCCUAACCCCAACCUCCAAACCUAACCCCAAACCCUAAACCUCAAAUCCCUAGCCCUAAACCUAAGAAUGAGCCUAAGCCUAACCCUAUCACUUAACUCUAAACCCUAAACCAUAACA